Molecule: ribosomal RNA, 600 nt
Filed under: uncultured bacterium
Lineage: Bacteria
Description: bacterial SSU rRNA
Rfam family: Bacterial small subunit ribosomal RNA
Source: RNAcentral
UCUGGUGGCGAGUGGCGAACGGGUGAGUAAUGUAUCGGAACGUGCCCAGUAGCGGGGGAUAACUACGCGAAAGCGUAGCUAAUACCGCAUACGCCCUACGGGGGAAAGCAGGGGAUCGCAAGACCUUGCACUAUUGGAGCGGCCGAUAUCGGAUUAGCUAGUUGGUGGGGUAACGGCUCACCAAGGCGACGAUCCGUAGCUGGUUUGAGAGGACGACCAGCCACACUGGGACUGAGACACGGCCCAGACUCCUACGGGAGGCAGCAGUGGGGAAUUUUGGACAAUGGGGGAAACCCUGAUCCAGCCAUCCCGCGUGUGCGAUGAAGGCCUUCGGGUUGUAAAGCACUUUUGGCAGGAAAGAAACGUCAUGGGUUAAUACCCCGUGAAACUGACGGUACCUGCAGAAUAAGCACCGGCUAACUACGUGCCAGCAGCCGCGGUAAUACGUAGGGUGCAAGCGUUAAUCGGAAUUACUGGGCGUAAAGCGUGCGCAGGCGGUUCGGAAAGAAAGAUGUGAAAUCCCAGAGCUUAACUUUGGAACUGCAUUUUUAACUACCGGGCUAGAGUGUGUCAGAGGGAGGUGGAAUUCCGCGUGUAGCA